RNAcentral lists this ribosomal RNA (253 nucleotides) under uncultured bacterium. Its description in RNAcentral is "partial 16S ribosomal RNA". It matches the Rfam family "Bacterial small subunit ribosomal RNA", at positions 524 to 776 of the family's 1533-position model. The record is from RNAcentral.
UACGUAGGGAGCAAGCGUUGUCCGGAAUCAUUGGGCGUAAAGCGCGCGUAGGUGGCUUCGUAAGUCCGCUGUGAAAGUCAAAGGCUCAACCUUUGAAAGCCGGUGGAUACUGUGGAGCUAGAGUACGGAAGAGGCGAGUGGAAUUCCUGGUGUAGCGGUGGAAUGCGCAGAUAUCAGGAGGAACACCAAUAGCGAAGGCAGCUCGCUGGGACGUUACUGACACCGAGGCGCGAAAGCGUGGGGAGCGAACAGG